UGGGGAAUAUUGCACAAUGGGGGAAACCCUGAUGCAGCCAUGCCGCGUGUGUGAAGAAGGCCUUCGGGUUGUAAAGCACUUUCAGCGAGGAGGAAAGGUUGAUGCCUAAUACGCAUCAGCUGUGACGUUACUCGCAGAAGAAGCACCGGCUAACUCCGUGCCAGCAGCCGCGGUAAUACGGAGGGUGCAAGCGUUAAUCGGAAUUACUGGGCGUAAAGCGCACGCAGGCGGUUGGAUAAGUUAGAUGUGAAAGCCCCGGGCUCAACCUGGGAAUUGCAUUUAAAACUGUCCAGCUAGAGUCUUGUAGAGGGGGGUAGAAUUCCAGGUGUAGCGGUGAAAUGCGUAGAGAUCUGGAGGAAUACCGGUGGCGAAGGCGGCCCCCUGGACAAAGACUGACGCUCAGGUGCGAAAGCGUGGGGAGCAAACA
This 427-nucleotide ribosomal RNA is filed under the name Microvirga ossetica. RNAcentral's name for it is "partial 16S ribosomal RNA". It matches the Rfam family "Bacterial small subunit ribosomal RNA", at positions 355 to 774 of the family's 1533-position model. Lineage: Bacteria; Pseudomonadati; Pseudomonadota; Alphaproteobacteria; Hyphomicrobiales; Methylobacteriaceae. RNAcentral also lists the same sequence under 2 other names. The record is from RNAcentral.